AGCGCAACCCUUGUCAUUAGUUGCUACAUUCAGUUGGGCACUCUAAUGAGACUGCCGGUGACAAGCCGGAGGAAGGUGGGGAUGACGUCAAGUCCUCAUGGCCCUUAUAGUGGGGCUACACACGUCAUACAAUGGCUGGUACAAAGGGUUGCCAACCCGCGAGGGGGAGCCAAUCCCAUAAAGCCAGUCGUAGUCCGGAUCGUAGUCUGCAACUCGACUACGUGAAGUCGGAAUCGCUAGUAAUCGUGGAUCAGAAUGUCACGGUGAAUACGUUCCCGGGUCUU
This 284-nucleotide ribosomal RNA is filed under the name uncultured Rhodoferax sp. Its description in RNAcentral is "partial 16S ribosomal RNA". It matches the Rfam family "Bacterial small subunit ribosomal RNA", at positions 1095 to 1382 of the family's 1533-position model. The record is from RNAcentral. Lineage: Bacteria; Pseudomonadati; Pseudomonadota; Betaproteobacteria; Burkholderiales; Comamonadaceae.